UAGGGAAUCUUCGGCAAUGGGGGCAACCCUGACCGAGCAACGCCGCGUGAGUGAAGAAGGUUUUCGGAUCGUAAAGCUCUGUUGUAAGUCAAGAACGGGUGUGAGAGUGGAAAGUUCACACUGUGACGGUAGCUUACCAGAAAGGGACGGCUAACUACGUGCCAGCAGCCGCGGUAAUACGUAGGUCCCGAGCGUUGUCCGGAUUUAUUGGGCGUAAAGCGAGCGCAGGCGGUUUGAUAAGUCUGAAGUUAAAGGCUGUGGCUCAACCAUAGUUCGCUUUGGAAACUGUCAAACUUGAGUGCAGAAGGGGAGAGUGGAAUUCCAUGUGUAGCGGUAAAAUGCGUAGAUAUAUGGAGGAACACCGGUGGCGAAAGCGGCUCUCUGGUCUGUAACUGACGCUGAGGCUCGAAAGCGUGGGGAGCGAACAGGAUUAGAUACCCUGGUAGUCCACGCCGUAAACGACGAGUGCUAGGUGUUGGAUCCUUUCCGGGAUUCAGUGCCGCAGCUAACGCAUUAAGCACUCCGCCUGGGGGAGUACGACCGCAAGGUUGAAAC
RNAcentral lists this ribosomal RNA (555 nucleotides) under uncultured bacterium. Its description in RNAcentral is "partial 16S ribosomal RNA". It matches the Rfam family "Bacterial small subunit ribosomal RNA", at positions 355 to 900 of the family's 1533-position model. The record is from RNAcentral.